CUUGGUCAUUUAGAGGAAGUAAAGGUCGUAACAAGGUCUCCGUUGGUGAACCAGCGGAGGGAUCAUUACUGAGUACUACACUCUCUACCCUUUGUGAACUAUUAUACCUGUUGCUUCGGCGGCGCCCGCGAGGGUGCCCGCCGGUCUCAUCAGAAUCUCUGUUUUCGAACCCGACGAUACUUCUGAGUGUUCUUAGCGAACUAUCAAAACUUUCAACAACGGAUCUCUUGGUUCUGGCAUCGAUGAAGAACGCAGCGAAAUGCGAUAAGUAAUGCGAAUUGCAGAAUUCCAGUGAGUCGUCGAAUCUUUGAACGCACAUUGCGCCCUUUGGUAUUCCGAAGGGCAUGCCUGUUCGAGCGUCAUUAUCACCCCUCAAGCCCCGUGCUUGGUGUUGGACGGCCGGUUGAGCGAUCGACCCCUCCGAAAGACAAUGACGGCGGCCUGUGGUUCCCCCGGUACACUGAGCUUUUCAUCGAGCACGUAUCGGACAAGGGGCGCCCGGGACCCGGUCUUCUCCUCUCAGCAGGAAACUUCUCAAGGUUGACCUCGGAUCAGGUAGGAAUACGCGCUGAACUUAAGCAUAUCAAUAAGCGGAGGA
This 598-nucleotide ribosomal RNA is filed under the name uncultured fungus. RNAcentral's name for it is "eukaryotic LSU rRNA". The stretch from base 208 to 362 matches the Rfam family "5.8S ribosomal RNA". The record is from RNAcentral. Lineage: Eukaryota; Fungi.